RNAcentral lists this ribosomal RNA (2944 nucleotides) under Gemmatimonadota bacterium. RNAcentral's name for it is "Gemmatimonadetes bacterium (freshwater metagenome) 23S ribosomal RNA". It matches the Rfam family "Bacterial large subunit ribosomal RNA". Lineage: Bacteria; Pseudomonadati; Gemmatimonadota. The record is from RNAcentral.
GAUCAAACAAAAUAAAGCACACGGUGAAUGCCUUGGCAUCGAGAGGCGAUGAAGGACGUGCUAAGCUGCGAAAAGCCUGGGGGAGGUGCACAGAACCUGUGAUCUCAGGAUGUCCGAAUGGGGAAACCCGGCUGGUCGCGAGGCCAGUCACCCGAAAGGGAGCCAACCCUGGGAACUGAAACAUCUCAGUACCGGGAGGAAAAGAAAUCAACCGAGAUUCUGCUAGUAGCGGUGAGCGAACGCGGAAGAGGCCAAACCUGAGGGGCUUGCUCCUCAGGGGUUGUGGGACCGUAACAUGGGAUGUACGACACGAGGGUGAAACGGCGUGGAAUAGCCUGCCAAAGAGGGUGAGAGCCCCGUAACUGGUUGUGUACGACCCCUAGCGGUAUCCCGAGUAGCGCGGGGCACGUGUAAUCCUGCGUGAAUCUGGGGCGACCACGCUCCAAGCCUAAAUACUCCUCGAUGACCGAUAGUGAACAAGUACCGUGAGGGAAAGGUGAAAAGAACGCCAGGUGGCGAGUGAAAUAGUUCCUGAAACCGUGUGCUGACAAGCGGUAGGAGCCCCGCAAGGGGUGACUGCGUGCCUUUUGCAUUAUGAUCCGGCGAGUUACUCCUCAUGUGCGCGGUUAAGGCCUUCAGGGCCGUAGCCAUAGCGAAAGCGAGUCUGAAUAGGGCGCAUGUACGUGGGGGUAGACCCGAAGCCGUGGCGAUCUACCCUUGAGCAGGUUGAAGCCGCCGUAACAGGCGGUGGAGGACCGAACCGAUGUGGGUUGAAAACCGCUCGGAUGACUUGAGGGUAGGGGUGAAAGGCCAAUCAAGCUCGGAGAUAGCUGGUUCUCCCCGAAAUAUAUUUUGGUAUAGCCUCGGGAAAUGAGUUCACAGGAGGUAGAGCACUGGAUGGGUCCGGGCGCCGUUAUUGGCGUACCUCCCCCAACUAAACUCCGAAUGCCUGUUGAAUGCUGCCCGGGAGGCAGUCGCGGUGUGCUAAUGUACCGCGGCGAGAGGGAAAGAACCCAGAGCACCAGCUAAGGCCCCGGAGUGGCGGCUCAGUGUAGCAAAGGAUGUGGGUAUGCGUUGACAGCUGGGAGGUUGGCUUAGAAGCAGCCAUUCCUUUAAAGAGUGCGUAAUAGCUCACCAGUCAAGCGUAGCCGCGCCGAUAAUGGUCGGGACUUAAGCCGCCCGCCGAAGCUGUGUCUUUGUACGCAAGUACAAGGGGUAGGGGAGCGUUCUGAGAGCGGUGAAGCCGGGGUGGAAACCUUCCGGUGGAGCGAUCAGAAGUGAGGAUGCCGGAUUCAGUACGCGAGAAUGAAGGUGAAAACCCUUCACACCGUAAGCCUAAGGGUUCCUGAGCCAUGUCGAUCAGCUCAGGGUUAGUCGGUCCCUAAGUCGAGGCCGAGAGGCGUAGACGAUGGAAAACGGGUCAACAUUCCCGUACCAACAGCUAAACGUUAUCAGUCUGAGGAGGGACGCAGGAGCAAGGUCAUCGGCGGAUUGUGGUUGUGCCGCUGUAAGCCAGGUAGACGUUUCCCCGUAGGCAAAUCCGCGGGGAUAGUCGAGUGGCGAUGCCGAAGGGGACGCAAGUCCCCGCAAAGGAUGGCCGACGCAUGCUGCCAAGAAAAUCUUCGCAGAUCAGGAUAGUUGUUGACCGUACCGUAAUCCGACACAGGUAGGCGAGGCGAGCAGCCUAAGGUGCUCGAGUGAUUCACGGAGAAGGAACUCGGCAAAAUUACCCCGUAACUUCGGGAUAAGGGGUGCCAGUAGUAUGUGUAAAAGCAGAGGCUGGCCGCAGAGAAUCGUCCCAAGCGACUGUUUAGCAAAAACACAGGUGUCUGCUAAGGCGUUUUCCAAGCCAACGUAUAGACACUGACUCCUGCCCGGUGCCGGAAGGUUAAGGCAAGUGGUUAGCCGCAAGGCGAAGCUGCGAACCGAAGCCCCGGUAAACGGCGGCCGUAACUAUAACGGUCCUAAGGUAGCGAAAUUCCUUGUCGGGUAAGUUCCGACCUGCACGAAUGGAGUAACGACUUGGGAGCUGUCUCCUCCGUAAGCUCGGCGAAAUAGCAGUAUCGGUGAGGAUUCCGAUUACCCGCAGCAGGACAAAAAGACCCCAUGCACCUUUACUACAUCCUGUCAUUGAUUGUCGGCAUAAGCUGCGUAGCAUAGGUGGGAGCCGUUGAUCCGCUGGUUUCGGCUAGCGGGGAGGCACCAGUGAAAUACCACCCUUCUUUUUCUGAUAAUCUCACUCAGGCCUUCACAGGGUCGAGGACCGUGGCAGGUGGGUAGUUUGUCUGGGGCGGACGCCUCCUAAAAAGUACCGGAGGCUCGCUAUGGUGCCCUCAGUGCGGUCGGUAAUCGCACGACGAGUGUAUAAGCAGAAGGGCGCCUGACUGCGAGCGCGACAGCGCAAGCAGGGACGAAAGUCGGCUUAAGUGAUCCGGUGGUCCCGUGUGGAUGGGCCAUCGCUCAUAGGAUAAAAGGUACGCUGGGGAUAACAGGCUUAUCGCGUCCGAGAGUUCACAUCGACGACGCGGUUUGGCACCUCGAUGUCGGCUUGUCACAUCCUGGGGCUGGAGAAGGUCCCAAGGGUCCGGCUGUUCGCCGGUUAAAGUGGCACAUGAGCUGGGUUCAGAACGUCGUGAGACAGUUCGGUCUGUAUCCGCUGUGGGCGUGGGAUUGUUGAGGGGAGUCGUCCUUAGUACGAGAGGACCGGGACGAAACGACCUCCCGUGUACGGGCUGUCCCGCCAGGGGCAUCGCCCGGUAGCGACGUCGUGCGCAGAUAACCGCUGAAUGCAUCUAAGUGGGAAACUGUCCCCAAGAUGAACAAUCCUGGACCGUAAGGUUCCUAAAGGGCCCUGGGAGACUACCAGGUUGAUAGGGCGCAGAUGUACGGGCUGCAAGGCCUUCAGUCGAGCGCUACUAAUCGCCCGUGAAGUUUGAUCUCUUCC